This 492-nucleotide ribosomal RNA is filed under the name uncultured bacterium. RNAcentral describes it as "partial 16S ribosomal RNA". It matches the Rfam family "Bacterial small subunit ribosomal RNA", at positions 29 to 507 of the family's 1533-position model. The record is from RNAcentral.
AGUGAACGCUGGCGGUAGGCCUAACACAUGCAAGUCGAACGGCAGCACAGUAAGAGCUUGCUCUUACGGGUGGCGAGUGGCGGACGGGUGAGGAAUACAUCGGAAUCUACUUUUUCGUGGGGGAUAACGUAGGGAGACUUACGCUAAUACCGCAUACGACCUACGGGUGAAAGCAGGGGAUCUUCGGACCUUGCGCGAUUGAAUGAGCCGAUGUCGGAUUAGCUAGUUGGCGGGGUAAAGGCCCACCAAGGCGACGAUCCGUAGCUGGUCUGAGAGGAUGAUCAGCCACACUGGAACUGAGACACGGUCCAGACUCCUACGGAAGGCAGCAGUGGGGAAUAUUGGACAAUGGGCGCAAGCCUGAUCCAGCCAUACCGCGUGGGUGAAGAAGGCCUUCGGGUUGUAAAGCCCUUUUGUUGGGAAAGAAAAGCAGCAGGUUAAUACCCCGCUGUUCUGACGGUACCCAAAGAAUAAGCACCGGCUAACUUCGUG